RNAcentral lists this unclassified non-coding RNA (250 nucleotides) under plant metagenome. RNAcentral describes it as "partial contains small subunit ribosomal RNA, internal transcribed spacer 1, and 5.8S ribosomal RNA". The stretch from base 184 to 250 matches the Rfam family "5.8S ribosomal RNA", at positions 1 to 59 of the family's 154-position model. The record is from RNAcentral.
GUAGGUGAACCUGCGGAGGGAUCAUUACAAGUGACCCCGGUCUAACCACCGGGAUGUUCAUAACCCUUUGUUGUCCGACUCUGUUGCCUCCGGGGCGACCCUGCCUUCGGGCGGGGGCUCCGGGUGGACACUUCAAACUCUUGCGUAACUUUGCAGUCUGAGUAAACUUAAUUAAUAAAUUAAAACUUUUAACAACGGAUCUCUUGGUUCUGGCAUCGAUGAAGAACGCAGCAUCUGACUGACUUACGAC